This 1323-nucleotide long non-coding RNA is filed under the name Setaria italica (foxtail millet). Its description in RNAcentral is "long non-coding RNA (SITA_LNC003764)". Lineage: Eukaryota; Viridiplantae; Streptophyta; Magnoliopsida; Poales; Poaceae. The record is from RNAcentral.
UUCCUUCCCUAAAUCAUCCUGCAACAUAUCUCCAGAAACUAGCCUCUCUAAUAUUUUAAAACAAGCCACGUCAUCAGAGUAGGCCCAGUUGAAAACACCCCGUCGAUCUGACCGGUGACCGCACGCGUCCACACCUUACCAGCGCCACACCCACACUUAUCUCUCUGAUUUUCACCGUUCCUCUCCCCCCUCUCUCUCCUUCUUCUUCACCUCCGUUCCCCACAACUGUACCUUAGAUCUUGUGGUGGGGGUGGCAUCCCAACAACGGUGGCGAGUGGACCCAAUGGCGGGAACAACGACGCGCGGGAACAGUGGGGCGAGCUGCAGCUCCCCUCCCCCCCCCCCCGUCGGGAGCAGCGGCGCAGGCCCGGGCGAGCUGCAGCCCUCUGCUGGAGGUUCCCACCGGCGGCACUUCCUCCACAUCGAGCGGGUCAUAGUCAUCGGCAGGGCACGAGAAGAGGACGCCCAUCGCGACGGCUUCCUCCUGGAUCUUUCCUUCCCUUGUCCGAUUCUUAUGUUGGUUUUGUACUUUUGUUGUUGGGUUCCUCAACUUCUGCCUUCGUGUCUCCCUUGGCGAACAGAAGAGGCUGCUGGGUGGGGGAGCAACAGCUGACCAGCUGAGCUGGGUGGAGGGUGGCUGGCGGUGUGGACUUUCCGAUGAUGAGAAGGGAGGGAGGAGAUGCCGUGAAACUGGCGCGCGUGGAGUAAAAGAGUGCGGGAACGGAUCAUCAGGGGCGAUUGCGGAAGGGGCGACCUCACGCAAAUAUCCGAGGCGAUACGGUCGGGAUUCGCGUCGCCUAAAACUUGUGGGUGUUUUGGGGAGCCGUUGGAGUUCUUUUUUUUUUUCUCUUUUUCUCUAAAAAAGAUAUUAAGGGUAAAAUACAGGUGCUCUUGGAGUUGCUCUGAGACUGUGGGGGCGUUUGGUUUCCUUUGCUUAUUUUUAGCUCGUGUCACAUCGAAUGUUUAGAUACUAAAUAGGAGUAUUAAACGUAGACUUUUUACAAAACCCAUUACAUUAGUGGAGGCUAAACGGCGAGACGAAUCUAAACAUUCGAUGUGACGGGUGUUAAAAAUAAGUCAAAGGAACCAAACCAGACCUGUAAAUGAGCUGAGCUCGAGAGGUGCUCUUGGAGUUACUCUAAGGCUGUAAAUGAGAUGAGCUCGAGAGGUGCUCUUGGAGGUGCUCUAAGACUGUAAAUGAGCUGAGCUCGAGUGAGUUCAUUGAACCAAGCUUAAGUUCAUUAGAGAUCGAGUCGAGUUUGAUCCAAGCCCCAAAAUUGUUUUCAUAGUUUAAGCCGAUCUCUGAUUAAAGUUAAAGCGAGC